This 248-nucleotide long non-coding RNA is filed under the name Gossypium barbadense (sea-island cotton). Its description in RNAcentral is "long non-coding RNA (GBAR_LNC012192)". The record is from RNAcentral. Lineage: Eukaryota; Viridiplantae; Streptophyta; Magnoliopsida; Malvales; Malvaceae.
UCAGUUGUGUGUGACACACGACCAUGUGUGACACACGACCGUGUGCCACCUGAUGUUGAAAUUGAAUUGACGUCAGUAUGCUCUACAUGGUCUCACACACAGACGUGUGACUGGCCAUGUGGUAUAAGUCAGUAUACCUCCUAAAUAGCACACGGCCUGGCACACGAGUGUGUGGGGCCAUUUCGUAGGCCACACGGGCUAGACACACGGACGUGUGGUCAUCCGUGUGACCCAAGUCAAUAUUCUCU